RNAcentral lists this ribosomal RNA (247 nucleotides) under uncultured bacterium. RNAcentral describes it as "partial 16S ribosomal RNA". It matches the Rfam family "Bacterial small subunit ribosomal RNA", at positions 524 to 768 of the family's 1533-position model. The record is from RNAcentral.
UACGAAGGGGGGCUAGCGUUGUUCGGAAUUCUCGGGCGUAAAGCGCACGUAGGCGGAUACUUAAGUCAGGGGUGAAAUCCCGGGGCUCAACCCCGGAACUGCCUUUGAUACUGGGUAUCUCGAGUCCGGAAGAGGUGAGUGGAAUUCCGAGUGUAGAGGUGAAAUUCGUAGAUAUUCGGAAGAACACCAGUGGCGAAGGCGACUUUACUGGACACAUAUUGACGCUGAGGUGCGAAAGCGUGGGGAG